Molecule: long non-coding RNA, 1153 nt
Organism: Papaver somniferum (opium poppy)
Lineage: Eukaryota; Viridiplantae; Streptophyta; Magnoliopsida; Ranunculales; Papaveraceae
Exons: 2
Source: RefSeq, a predicted model, not a curated record
CAGAGAUUACAAUUAUCCUCUCAAAAUCAUCGAUACUCUCCUUCCUUGUUUUUGAUUUGCCGUGUUCUUCUACAUCGCCAGCUCCACAUAAUCAAUCUCACCCUUUUCUUCGGAUCAACAACAGCAGCCCACCCUUCUUCUCAGCUUCUAAAUCUUGUUUCUCCAAUUGAACAGAACCCAAAAUCACCUGCAAUUGUUUCUUCCUGUAAAUCCUAAUCACAAACUCAAAAUCACCUGCAAUUGAGAAGACCCAGCAGCAGAAAAAAUUGAUUUUAAUUCAGUUGUUUCUAUGGUGAUAUUUUAAAAACGGGUACCUCUUAAUUAUUGUGUGAUGGAACAAAUCGGUAGAAAAUUUAAGCGAAAUGCGUCAAUAGUUUAAUUUCUGAAGUGUAAUUGCAUCUAUAUCUAAGAAAGUGAGGGAUGGCUUGUGUUGUUCGUUAGAGCGAAAAAAUAAUGGAGGAGUGGGUUCAGAUUAUGUUGAUCAUAUGGAGAUGGAGGACUCAAUUAUAAUUCUUUGUUCGUUGAGAACUAGGGAAGGAGAUGAAAUAUGGAUCGAAAGAACACAACAAACUCACCUCCUCUAACACCAGUUUAGGUCCAGCAACUGUUUGAAGAAAGUCUCAAAAGGAAUUUCUCUUAUAUUACUAGUCCAUACGUCAUAAUUACCAGAUUUUUCCUUUGAUUUUGUGAUUGUGCUUAAAGGGUUUUGGCUAAUUUUGUAGAAGCCAGGGAAUGAUGGCAGUGGCCCGAGGCAUUGGUGAGUCUUAGGCAGGGUUUAGUAGCUACAGGACAUGCAGAAAUUGAAUUGUUAUCGCCGGCUACAAAAAUGGUUCUAGUGGGAUUAAAGGUUUAGGGGAUGGUUUGUAAAUGCAUCAAAGAAACAGAGAGCUGAUGAGAAGUCCUGAAUGAAAUCUCCGUCGCUCACCAGUUUAAUGUUACAGUUGAAGGUGAAGAAGACAUCCAGAGCACGACUAAUCCUGGGCCUUCGAUUUUCUGUGGCUAGAUCUGUUACACAUGUACACUAUCAACGACAUCUUCGCCAUUCACUUUGUGAUGAAACCUCUGUCGUUGAUCUUAUAAGGAUUAAAAUGUCUUUAAAACUAGAAAAAUGUUGAUAGGUGGCGGAUAACCGUGGCCAACUUUCCAUCCACAA